UUAAGCGACUAAGCGUACACGGUGGAUGCCCUGGCAGUCAGAGGCGAUGAAGGACGUGCUAAUCUGCGAAAAGCGUCGGUAAGGUGAUAUGAACCGUUAUAACCGGCGAUGUCCGAAUGGGGAAACCCAGUGCAAUUCGUUGCACUAUCGUUAACUGAAUACAUAGGUUAACGAGGCGAACCGGGGGAACUGAAACAUCUAAGUACCCCGAGGAAAAGAAAUCAACCGAGAUUCCCCCAGUAGCGGCGAGCGAACGGGGAGCAGCCCAGAGUCUGAAUCAGCUUGUGUGUUAGUGGAACGGUCUGGAAAGUCCGACGGUACAGGGUGAUAGUCCCGUACACCAAAAUGCACAGGCUGUGAACUCGAAGAGUAGGGCGGGACACGUGGUAUCCUGUCUGAAUAUGGGGGGACCAUCCUCCAAGGCUAAAUACUCCUGACUGACCGAUAGUGAACCAGUACCGUGAGGGAAAGGCGAAAAGAACCCCGGCGAGGGGAGUGAAAAAGAACCUGAAACCGUGUACGUACAAGCAGUGGGAGCACCUUCGGGUGUGACUGCGUACCUUUUGUAUAAUGGGUCAGCGACUUAUAUUCUGUAGCAAGGUUAACCGUAUAGGGGAGCCGCAGGGAAACCGAGUCUUAACUGGGCGUUAAGUUGCAGGGUAUAGACCCGAAACCCGGUGAUUCAGCCAUGGGCAGGUUGAAGGUUGGGUAACACUAACUGGAGGACCGAACCGACUAAUGUUGAAAAAUUAGCGGAUGACUUGUGGCUGGGGGUGAAAGGCCAAUCAAACCGGGAGAUAGCUGGUUCUCCCCGAAAGCUAUUUAGGUAGCGCCUCGUGAAUUCAUCUUCGGGGGUAGAGCACUGUUUCGGCUAGGGGGUCAUCCCGACUUACCAACCCGAUGCAAACUACGAAUACCGAAGAAUGUUAUCACGGGAGACACACGGCGGGUGCUAACGUCCGUCGUGAAGAGGGAAACAACCCAGACCGCCAGCUAAGGUCCCAAAGUCAUGGUUAAGUGGGAAACGAUGUGGGAAGGCACAGACAGCCAGGAUGUUGGCUUAGAAGCAGCCAUCAUUUAAAGAAAGCGUAAUAGCUCACUGGUCGAGUCGGCCUGCGCGGAAGAUGUAACGGGGCUAAACCAUGCACCGAAGCUGCGGCAGCGACACUAUGUGUUGUUGGGUAGGGGAGCGUUCUGUAAGCCUGCGAAGGUGUGCUGUGAGGCAUGCUGGAGGUAUCAGAAGUGCGAAUGCUGACAUAAGUAACGAUAAAGCGGGUGAAAAGCCCGCUCGCCGGAAGACCAAGGGUUCCUGUCCAACGUUAAUCGGGGCAGGGUGAGUCGACCCCAAGGCGAGGCCGAAAGGCGUAGUCGAUGGGAAACAGGUUAAUAUUCCUGUACUUGGUGUUACUGCGAAGGGGGACGGAGAAGGCUAUGUUAGCCGGGCGACGGUUGUCCCGGUUUAAGAUGUAGGCUGAUUAUCCAGGCAAAUCCGGAUAAUCAAGGCUGAGGUGUGAUGACGAGGCACUACGGUGCUGAAGUAACAAAUGCCCUGCUUCCAGGAAAAGCCUCUAAGCAUCAGGUAACAUCAAAUCGUACCCCAAACCGACACAGGUGGUCAGGUAGAGAAUACCAAGGCGCUUGAGAGAACUCGGGUGAAGGAACUAGGCAAAAUGGUGCCGUAACUUCGGGAGAAGGCACGCUGGUGUGUAGGUGAAGCCCCUGCGGGUGGAGCUGAGACCAGUCGAAGAUACCAGCUGGCUGCAACUGUUUAUUAAAAACACAGCACUGUGCAAACACGAAAGUGGACGUAUACGGUGUGACGCCUGCCCGGUGCCGGAAGGUUAAUUGAUGGGGUUAUCCGUAAGGAGAAGCUCUUGAUCGAAGCCCCGGUAAACGGCGGCCGUAACUAUAACGGUCCUAAGGUAGCGAAAUUCCUUGUCGGGUAAGUUCCGACCUGCACGAAUGGCGUAAUGAUGGCCAGGCUGUCUCCACCCGAGACUCAGUGAAAUUGAACUCGCUGUGAAGAUGCAGUGUACCCGCGGCAAGACGGAAAGACCCCGUGAACCUUUACUAUAGCUUGACACUGAACAUUGAGCCUUGAUGUGUAGGAUAGGUGGGAGGCUUUGAAGCGUGGACGCCAGUCUGCGUGGAGCCAACCUUGAAAUACCACCCUUUAAUGUUUGAUGUUCUAACGUUGGCCCCUUACCGGGGUUGCGGACAGUGUCUGGUGGGUAGUUUGACUGGGGCGGUCUCCUCCCAAAGCGUAACGGAGGAGCACGAAGGUUAGCUAAUCCUGGUCGGACAUCAGGAGGUUAGUGCAAUGGCAUAAGCUAGCUUGACUGCGAGCGUGACGGCGCGAGCAGGUGCGAAAGCAGGUCAUAGUGAUCCGGUGGUUCUGAAUGGAAGGGCCAUCGCUCAACGGAUAAAAGGUACUCCGGGGAUAACAGGCUGAUACCGCCCAAGAGUUCAUAUCGACGGCGGUGUUUGGCACCUCGAUGUCGGCUCAUCACAUCCUCGGGCUGAAGUAGGUCCCAAGGGUAUGGCUGUUCGCCAUUUAAAGUGGUACGCGAGCUGGGUUUAGAACGUCGUGAGACAGUUCGGUCCCUAUCGCCGUGGGCGCUGGAGAAUUGAGGGGCUGCUCCUAGUACGAGAGGACCGGAGUGGACGCAUCACUGGUGUUCGGGUUGUCAUGCCAAUGGCACUGCCCGGUAGCUAAAUGCGGAAGAGAUAAGUGCUGAAAGCAUCUAAGCACGAAACUUGCCCCGAGAUGAGUUCUCCCUGAGACUUUAAGUCUCCUGAAGGAACGUUGAAGACGACGACGUUGAUAGGCCGGGUGUGUAAGCGCAGCGAUGCGUUGAGCUAACCGGUACUAAUGAACCGUGAGGCUUAACCU
Molecule: ribosomal RNA, 2893 nt
Filed under: Klebsiella pneumoniae
Lineage: Bacteria; Pseudomonadati; Pseudomonadota; Gammaproteobacteria; Enterobacterales; Enterobacteriaceae
Description: bacterial LSU rRNA
Rfam family: Bacterial large subunit ribosomal RNA
Source: RNAcentral